RNAcentral lists this ribosomal RNA (549 nucleotides) under Brettanomyces bruxellensis. RNAcentral describes it as "eukaryotic LSU rRNA". It matches the Rfam family "Eukaryotic large subunit ribosomal RNA", at positions 107 to 667 of the family's 3401-position model. The record is from RNAcentral. Lineage: Eukaryota; Fungi; Ascomycota; Pichiomycetes; Pichiales; Pichiaceae.
GCCCAAAUUUGAAAUCGGGCAACCGAGUUGUAAUUUGGAGACGGGACACUAGAGAGGAGGAAGGCGAUUAAGUGCCUUGGAACAGGCUGCCGUAGAGGGUGAGAGCCCCGUGAAUCGCUGGAGACCGAUCAAUUAGUGCCCGCCGAAGAGUCGAGUUGUUUGGGAAUGCAGCUCUAAGUGGGUGGUAUAUUCCAUCUAAGGCUAAAUAUUAGCGAGAGACCGAUAGCAAACAAGUACAGUGAUGGAAAGAUGAAAAGAACUUUGGAAAGAGAGUGAAAUAGUACGUGAAAUUGUUGAAAGGGAAGGGUAUUUGAUCCGACAUGGUGUUUAGCAGCGGCCCGUUCCUCGUGGAUGGGUGCACCUGGUUUACACUGGGCCAGCAUCGGUUCUGGGAGCCAUAUACGGGGUUCGUGAAUGUGGCCCUUCGAUUCUGUCGGAGGGUGUUAUAGCGCGGGCAUCUUGUGGCUAGCCGGGACCGGGGACUGCGGUGACUUGUCACCAAGGAUGCUGGCAGAACGAGCAAAUACCACCCGUCUUGAAACACAGACC